Molecule: ribosomal RNA, 497 nt
Filed under: uncultured bacterium
Lineage: Bacteria
Description: partial 16S ribosomal RNA
Rfam family: Bacterial small subunit ribosomal RNA
Source: RNAcentral
GAUGAACGCUGGCGGCGUGCCUAAUACAUGCAAGUCGAGCGAACAGACGAGGAGCUUGCUCCUCUGACGUUAGCGGCGGACGGGUGAGUAACACGUGGAUAACCUACCUAUAAGACUGGGAUAACUUCGGGAAACCGGAGCUAAUACCGGAUAAUAUAUUGAACCGCAUGGUUCAAUAGUGAAAGACGGUUUUGCUGUCACUUAUAGAUGGAUCCGCGCCGCAUUAGCUAGUUGGUAAGGUAACGGCUUACCAAGGCAACGAUGCGUAGCCGACCUGAGAGGGUGAUCGGCCACACUGGAACUGAGACACGGUACAGACUCCUACGGGAGGCAGCAGUCGGGAAUCUUCCGCAAUGGGCGAAAGCCUGACGGAGCAACGCCGCGUGAGUGAUGAAGGUCUUCGGAUCGUAAAACUCUGUUAUUAGGGAAGAACAAAUGUGUAAGUACCUAUGCACGUCUUGACGGUACCUAAUCAGAAAGCCACGGCUAACUACGUG